CGCCUUGCCAGCCCGCUCAGAAACUCAAAGGAAUUGACGGGGGCCCGCACAAGCGGUGGAGCAUGUGGUUUAAUUCGAUGAUACGCGAGGAACCUUACCUGGGCUCAAAUGUAUGUUGACGUAUUCUGAAAGGGAUACUUCUUCGGACAAUAUACAAGGUGCUGCAUGGUUGUCGUCAGCUCGUGCCGUGAGGUGUCGGGUUAAGUCCCAUAACGAGCGCAACCCCUACCUUUAGUUGCCAUCAGGUUAAGCUGGGGACUCUAAAGGAACUGCCUACGCAAGUAGUGAGGAAGGCGGGGAUGACGUCAAAUCAGCACGGCCCUUACGUCCAGGGCUACACACGUGCUACAAUGGCCGAUACAGAGGGCAGCUACCUGGUGACAGGAUGCAAAUCUCCAAAGUCGGUCUCAGUUCGGAUCGGAGUCUGCAACCCGACUCCGUGAAGUUGGAUUCGCUAGUAAUCGCGCAUCAGCCAUGGCGCGGUGAAUACGUUCCCGGGCCUU
RNAcentral lists this ribosomal RNA (503 nucleotides) under uncultured Sphingobacteriales bacterium. RNAcentral describes it as "bacterial SSU rRNA". It matches the Rfam family "Bacterial small subunit ribosomal RNA", at positions 903 to 1382 of the family's 1533-position model. Lineage: Bacteria; Pseudomonadati; Bacteroidota; Sphingobacteriia; Sphingobacteriales. The record is from RNAcentral.